CGCUUCCUUCCACCGUUCCCACCUUUCUCAACAGCGCCCCGCCCUCCGGGGAGGAGGCGGCACGACCCGGCCUGCGUGGACGCCGCCCCUCGGCUCUGCGCCCGUGUCCCGGUCUGCGACACCGGGCGACCCCAGACCGCAGGGGGAUCGGGGAAUCCCGCACGGCGCGUGGGGAGCGCCCACGGUCCCCGAGGGGUCUCCUUCCCCCCGAGCCUCGGGAGCGACCCCGGGCCUGGGGGCCGCAUCGCCCCUCCGCCCGGACGGUGCCCAAGCUGAGACCGGCCUCCCUGCGCCGCCCCAGCCGGCCCGGGAACGGGGCGCACCCACCGUGUGAAGCCCCCGCCCAUGGGGAAACCCCGCGCCCCCGCCAGGGCGGACCGAGGGCCCGGGCGCUGCUGCCGCCGCCGCUGGUGCUGCUGCUCGCGGCCGCGCGGUCGGGACGCGCAGAUCAUGCAAAGUACAAGAGAAGACCUCUUCCCAGCCCUCAACAUUCUCAGGGGAGCCUUUCAGGGGCGACACUUCAGCAAAAGUUUCC
This is a long non-coding RNA of Equus asinus (donkey), 535 nucleotides long. NCBI's taxonomy places the organism in Eukaryota, Metazoa, Chordata, Mammalia, Perissodactyla, Equidae. The record is from Ensembl.